RNAcentral lists this non-coding RNA (650 nucleotides) under Pan troglodytes (chimpanzee). Lineage: Eukaryota; Metazoa; Chordata; Mammalia; Primates; Hominidae. The record is from RNAcentral.
CUUUUGCUGGAUAACACUACCUGGUAAUUUGACAUACUAGGUGGUUAGUAACUACUGACUGUCUCCAGGUUACAACACAGUUAUUACCUACUUGGGUGAAAAGAGAAGACAGGAAAUACAUUUUGGAGUUGGCUGGCAACCUGUUUACAAAGCGAUUUACAACAGUUCUUUAUUCUUAAGGGGCUAUUCUAAUAUAAGACCUCAGAGAAACAGUGCAGUGUGACAAAGGAGGAAUUUAUCAAAUGAGACAGAAAAAGCAUCAAGGCAAGCUGUGAAAUGGUGCGGUAGGAACCAAAUAGAGAGCCAAAGGAUCUCUCUGUCACUGCAGGCCCUUAGGGUGCCUGACAUGAAAAUCACAGCCUUGGCGAGAAAACAGCCGCUGCAGGGAGUGGUGGCCACAGUACUCUAGGCAUCCCUCGCCUGCGUCCACUUCCCACCACCCCUCGGAGGGGCCAGCACACAAGACAGUGACCGGGGCAUGUGUCAAGAGCAUGCGAGAGAAUAUCUACCCUGAGGCAGGAAAACACGGCUUCCGCUCGGCUGUCUCCCAGCUUGGUUUCUUAGAAAUCUAUGUCAUUAUCUUUCUGCUGGGAUUGUCAGACCUGAUUUUGAGAGCAUUUAAAACCUGACCCGUGAUGGAGCCUCUAAAA